RNAcentral lists this long non-coding RNA (1807 nucleotides) under Gallus gallus (chicken). The record is from RNAcentral. Lineage: Eukaryota; Metazoa; Chordata; Aves; Galliformes; Phasianidae.
GGGGUCAGCACUGGGUAACUCACACCAGGCAACUUAUUGAUUCCUUGCAUGACUUCAGCAUGGUCGGCCAUCUGCGGCACCCAUCGUGGGGACACAAAACUGGUGGCCUCGAUAACCGGCAGCCCCGUCUCCGACAACAUGUCGAUCAGGCGGAUCUUCACUGGCGUCGGCACCACGCUCUUCUCGUUCUGCAGCCCGUCGCGCGGCCCCACCUCCACCACCUUCACUCUCUGCGGGAAGGCCGCGGUGCUGACCGGCCGCAAGGACACAGCCCAGCGCGGCAGCAACCUCCGCACCGCCGCCAUGGCUGCCCGAACCUCCUCACGUGACAGCUACCACGUGAUUCAGAGAGGGCGGAGCUCUGCAGUCACGUGAGAGCGGCGCCAGAGUGUGGGAGUACCUGGCGGCGGGUGGUAUCACGUGACAGCGGUACGGCUGCGAACCGCGGCAUUGUGCGCUGAGAGUGCCUCGCGACGCGCUCAGGAUGCGUUCGGGACGAGCCUCGCCGAGCGCCGCCUCUUAUAGCCGCACGCCGUGCUCGGCGCCGCUGAGCAAACAGCUCGUGUUUGCCCAGGGCCACCCCGCGCCGCGUCACCGGCGGGCCUCCCGUGCCAGGGCCGUCAGCGCGGGCCGUUCCGCAGCCUGCGAAUGGGGAAACGCCGCCGCAGAUCUCCGAGCGCGUCCGCCCCCACCGAGACGCGGAGCAACGCCCGGGCUGACGCCGUGCCGGGACGCGAUGCGCAGCCCCGUGCCAGGCCUCGCCUCCAGACCCUCACGCAGCCUCCCCCCCCCACCUCCAGCAGCGGGGCGGGGGCUCAGAUUUAGACCAAGACCCCUUUUCCCUGGCAGAACGCCGCCGGGCUGGCAGCAAGGCCUGAUGAUGCCUUACAGAAUGGUUAGAAGAUAAAUCCUGUCAUGAAAAACAAUUUAUUUAACAGUGAAUGAACAACUCAUCUGAGGCUCAAUCGAAAAGACGGGUGGGGGGCGGCCGCUUUCAGCCCGUGGCUGUCACUUCACGCCCUCCAGCCGAACAGCCCAACCCGGCUGUGAGCGCACAGGAGACGGAGGCGCGUCAGGCAAAGUCACCAGCAGUCCUUCACCGGGAGGCUGCUGCCACUGCAGAGUCCCCGCAAAACCCAACAUCGUCACCUGCAAAAAGGGCACGGGGACACUCAGUUGCAGCUCAGGUGGGCACUUUGAACACUGCAGGACACCCAAACCACGUUUCAGUCUGCACAACUUCCCACAUUCGAGGCAGCCCUGUACUUUUCCACCUGCCAUUCAGAAUACACAAAUGGCAACAUAAGGGAUAUUUUUGGGCCAAACGUUUGACUGUAGUGUGCUGGGUUAUGGGUGGCCUAAAAAAAAAAAAAAAAGCAACUGAGAAGGCUUUACCUGUGUUUGUUUAGAGCAAAGGGCACAGCAGCAUUUGCGUCACAAUUACAUCUGCAAUUAGCAAGUCAGUGUACCUCAUCUGAAUUGAUCCCUUCUGUGUGUGAGGCUUGUUAUUUACUUUGCCUCUCUGUGUCAAUAGGGUCAAAACAGUUGUGGGGAGAAAUGUUCCUACCUAUUCUAUGGGAGACAAACUCACCCUAUCCAUAUUCCACGUUGAACAGUGAGAUCAAACCUGAAGAAUAACAGAGGAUACUGCAAGGGUGUGGGUGAAAGCACCCCAUACCAAUCAGUAAGGGAUAACAACUUCAUGUUCUCUCCAGUACAAGUUGAGCUGGGCCUUCUCAGCCCACAUGUGCCCAAGGUGGGUUCUAAAAGUGCAUUAGGUCUUUUUUCUUCAAGUUCCUUACUUGCG